Molecule: long non-coding RNA, 303 nt
Filed under: Brassica napus (rape)
Lineage: Eukaryota; Viridiplantae; Streptophyta; Magnoliopsida; Brassicales; Brassicaceae
Description: long non-coding RNA (BNAP_LNC020102)
Source: RNAcentral
GUCUGAAAUUGUAUGGCUUUAACCGUUUGUUUUGUUGGUCUCGUUACAGGAACAAAUGUAUAAUAUUGUGAAGUCUGGAAAAGGUCGUUUCUUCCUAACAUCAACUGUAAGGAAUUACUUUCCCUCGGUUGCAUAUGCACCAAGUAGACGUCUGCUGCAUAAAGUCCCUAGACCCGUGGGUGAAUUUAGGGAUUCAAAUGGUAGGCCUUUCCCUAGACUCGUGGUGGUAGAUCCCUUUGCUAGACCAUUGCCUUCUGAGUGGAUAUUGUCGUUGAUUAAGAGUAUGAAACGCCUAAGAAAAGA